GUGUCAGCCGCCGCGGUAAGACGUAGGGGGCGAGCGUUACCCGGAUUCACUGGGCGUAAAGGGCGUCUAGGCGGUUCGGCAAGUCGUCUGUGAAAGUCCCUGGCUCAACUGGGGGAGGCCGGGCGAUACUGCCGGGCUAGAGGGCGACAGAGGAAGGUGGAACGGCCAGAGUAGCGGUGAAAUGCGUAGAUACUGGCCGGUACCCCGAUGGCGAAGGCAACCUUCGGGGCCGUCCCUGACGCUGAAGCGCGAAAGCGUGGGGAGCGAACCGGAUUAGAUACCCGGGUAGUCCUGGCCGUAAACGAUGGGUACUAGGUGUGGGAGGUUCGACCCCUUCCGUGCCGAAGCUAACGCAUUAAGUACCCCGCCUGGGGAGUACGGCCGCAAGGUUGAAACUUAAAGGAAUUGGCGGGG
This 414-nucleotide ribosomal RNA is filed under the name uncultured prokaryote. RNAcentral describes it as "bacterial SSU rRNA". It matches the Rfam family "Bacterial small subunit ribosomal RNA", at positions 505 to 918 of the family's 1533-position model. The record is from RNAcentral.